Molecule: long non-coding RNA, 1031 nt
Filed under: Oryza brachyantha (malo sina)
Lineage: Eukaryota; Viridiplantae; Streptophyta; Magnoliopsida; Poales; Poaceae
Description: long non-coding RNA (OBRA_LNC000076)
Source: RNAcentral
GUUACAAUUCACUCGUUUACUGCGUAUCACCUGAAUAGUCGUAAAAAGUUAAAAAAAUUAAAAGUGGCAGAUUAAUAGUGGAAUGAAACAUAUCAGUCUAUAAAUAUGCAACUUCAAAUUCAACUUUUACGAGCUAUAAAAAACAUAAAUUAAACUGAAAUAAGCAUGCUCAUUUACCGUUAAAUUUAGAUAACUUACCAGAAAAAUAGAUAUCUAACUAAAUGAUAAAAAUAUUUUUUUCAUCUUUGUUUAUAUCUCUGAUAUCUCUAAACUGACAAACUGUAUUUGGUUUGGAACUAAACAUUGGUUGGGUUGGUUUUCCAUGGAGAGGAUUUGGUUGUUUCAUUCACUUACUUUGAGGCUGAUGGCAAAAUGGUUGGAAAAGAGAGAGAGAGAGAGAGAGUACUGUUCCUGUCUUGUGUUCACCUUUCCUUUUCUUUUUCUGCUCUGUUCUUCUCUUGGGGUUUUUAUGAUUUUUUUUUUUUUUUGGGUUUCAGAGGCCGCUCGUGUGGCUUUGGGGAGUCCAACCCCAACCACUAUCAGGGGUGGAACUCUGUCCCUCCCAGCCUUGACAAACCCACCAGAACUCCCUUGUCCCUAUGUGCACCCCAGCACUCCACAUUUUUUUCCCUUUCCUCCCUCGCUACUGUGACCACGCUAGAACAUGGAGUUCUACUAUCUAUCUACACUAUCAUCAUUCCAACCCCCAUCCAAUCCAUACUCAUGUUGUUUGGUAUCUCUAUGUGGAGAUGAAUCUAGUUUGAAGGUUAGUGGAGAUUUAUAUGGUAAGAUUAGUGUAAGGGUGGGGACCGCGGAUAUGAUGCUCUCCGGUUCGCUGGUAACCAGUGGCGUGAAAAAAUGGUGUGGGUUUGUGUUUUGGGAGGAGCGGGCAGCGAGUUGGUUGAAUAGGUUAUACUUGGAAAGAUUCAAAAUGUAUAUGUGUGUGUUUCUUAAUUUUUUUUUUCUCUUCAGAUAAGUGAAACGGUACAUUUGAUGCCAACUUUGUGUUAGAUCUAUACAAGGAGAAGGAG